This 240-nucleotide long non-coding RNA is filed under the name Musa acuminata (dwarf banana). Its description in RNAcentral is "long non-coding RNA (MACU_LNC000985)". Lineage: Eukaryota; Viridiplantae; Streptophyta; Magnoliopsida; Zingiberales; Musaceae. The record is from RNAcentral.
AACAACCCCUGGUCCGACGACAGCAGUCCCUUCUGGCUCAGCAGGUUCUUGAAGUAGUGGUUGUCGAACACGUCGGUGGAGUUGCGGUCGAGCGCCGUGGUCGCGUUCCCGUCGCUGCUCUGUGAGCAAAGGCCCUGCAGGUCGGCCGCCAUGCUGGAGUCCAGCGUCGGGUCCACCGACUCGGUCGUCGAGAAGUUCGACAACCGGUUGUUGAACGUCACGCACCGCGCGAGGCCGAUC